GGGGUUGUAGCUCAGUGGUAGAGCACUUGCCUUGCAUGUAUGAGGACCUAGGUUUGAUCCUCAGCACCA
This 69-nucleotide transfer RNA is filed under the name Ictidomys tridecemlineatus (thirteen-lined ground squirrel). RNAcentral's name for it is "Spermophilus tridecemlineatus (thirteen-lined ground squirrel) tRNA". It matches the Rfam family "tRNA". From Rfam's summary of the family: Transfer RNA (tRNA) molecules are approximately 80 nucleotides in length. Their secondary structure includes four short double-helical elements and three loops (D, anti-codon, and T loops). Lineage: Eukaryota; Metazoa; Chordata; Mammalia; Rodentia; Sciuridae. The record is from Rfam by way of RNAcentral.